RNAcentral lists this long non-coding RNA (8209 nucleotides) under Homo sapiens (human). RNAcentral describes it as "non-protein coding lnc-IPO5-7:1". Lineage: Eukaryota; Metazoa; Chordata; Mammalia; Primates; Hominidae. The record is from RNAcentral.
UACAUUCUUUGAGCCUGGUGGAGCACGUUUGCUGAGGUGAUGUGGUCUCCUCAGUGUCACUGUGAAGAGCUCAGUCAGGAAAAGCCAGCAGCAUCUACCCUGCCACCCUCCAAACCUUCUGACUUUGGGGAGACUCCAGUCCCCCAGGUCUUUACCCAGCCUGCAGAUCUCAUUCUAGCUUAACAAGGGCAUGCGUGUGCAUGAAGUUGAACUAAGAGUGGAGGAAGGCCAGAGGUAGGGUUGGGUGUGAUACUAGGUAGCAGAUAUUACAGACUUCUGAAUGCAUUCAGAUUUCCAAAGGGUUUCCUGAGACCUCUCAACCAAUCUUUCUAGGACAAUAGCUAGUGUAGGGGUCUCCUGACUCAAUAGGGGACCCAGGCCUUCAGAUACCAGCCACUCACUGGCUGCUCUGUGACGUGCUAUCUUAAGACCGUGAAUGGAAGACAAGCCCUAUGUAAACACAAAUCUUAAAGCCACUGUUGGCUACUCGAGGGCCUCCUUGUGCUAAUAUCUUUUGUUGGAUAUUAUUUCAAAAUAUGUGAAUUUUAGACCCUUUUGUGGUUGCCUUUGCUGCCGCUUGUUAAGGGCAAAAUAAAAACGCAAGAAAUUCUUUUAGCAUGAAGAAAUACAUUUAAUGAGCUCCAGAACUCAAAAUAAAUGGCUUCAGCUCCUUGAACAGUCAUCUGUAUGCCAUUGACAAUAUUUUAUUAGAUAGGCGUUUAAUUAGAGGAAGUCUGUGGGCCAGAUUCUUCCCUGCAUGUGUGAUUCAUAUUUGGAAAUUUCUGAUUUAUCUCCCCCCAAUUGUGCCAUGUGGCCUGCACUUAAAAUGUAAGUAAUUCUGAUUUUAUUCUCAAGAACUUAUUUGAAGAUUCAAGCCAAGCAAUGCUGAAAAAAGCUAGGCCUGCAAAACUAAAACAUAGCACGAGCCUCUCAAAAUUUCCACCAAAUAUACAAAAUCCAGUCUGCUCUGAAUGUGCAUCAGAAACUCAACUUUGGUUAUUAGCCCUGGAAUUUGGUGCCAAAAACAAAAAUUUGGUUUUGUUGUCAAGCAAUUUCUAAAGGAAGAAACAAUGUAAAUAUUAAUCUGUCAUUUUAAAUGUUGUUGAAACUGCCAUGAGUGUGCACACAGCUCUCUGUUUCAUACCUGUAAUCAGUAUUCGCAUGCUUUCAGUCCACUGUUUCUACUUAAAGCAUUAUUCCGUAUUUCAGCACAGAAUGACUUUGGUGAAACUGUAGCUGUUAGUGAGUAAUUGCGUUACAGGCAGACCCAGUCUUAAAUUAACAAAUCUGGGUUCCCUUAACUAUCAGGUUUAUGUUGGUUUUAUUUGCUUCUAUCUGGAUCCCUUCUCUUUGCCUGGGACCUUAUUCUGAUUAGCUAGAUUUUUAAGAGCUUUUAAAGUUACAUUCCCCAGAAAGACUUUUUUUCUCUGGACUUUCUCUUUUAUGGUCUGUAAACAUUUCUCCUCUGAUGGUCAUGGACUUAGUUCUAAGACUGGCCUUCCUCUAGUGUGAUGGUAUGAGUCUAUUCUAUUGCUGCUAAAUUUUACAAAUUGAACUGCAGAAGAGUCUUUCUAGGUAAUCCCUGUAACAGAGCAAGUUUCUUUGAACCCUAGCCAUGUAUGUGUAGUGUUCCAUUAUUGGAACGCUAAGCAUGUGGGAGUUAUUUAUAUCUUACUGCUCACGGUCAUCAUCAAGGUCUGAUUACAAAAAUUCAAAAAAUUACAACCUCAGGCAUAAAUUUAAAGAGGUGGCCAUUUAAAAAUAAUCCGUUGCUACCAUUUCCACUUAAAAUGGUAGCUCUCUGAUGAGUUUUAUAUUGGCUCUCUGUUAGCCAAGCCCGUAAGAGCAUAUGGAGAGAAAGGUACGAUUGAAUGAACUUCUGUGAGCGGCAUAAAGACAUUUACUCUGACAACAUUAAAGAAUUUACUGGUACUGUUUUUUUUCCUUGUUAGUUUAAUUCCAUCUGUUUCUGUUUAAUUGAGUGAAACUUAAUAAAAAUGGUGUCUCUAGUGAGCACAUGUACACACCUCUCCCAGUUGUUGGGAUUUAAAAUGAAGCUGUGACUUUUAGGCCAAAAUUAGCGUGACACUUAAUAUAACAGUUUUCUUUCUAUUAAAAAAUAAUGACAAAACACACACACACACACACACACAAUCUGUAUGAUGAUUUGGCCUGGAGUUGUAGACAUCACAGAUCAAAAGUGGCCUGGUGCUAGCUGUUUGGGUAUAUCCUUGAAAAGGGCAACUUUGUCAUUUCCUAGAGUAACCUAGAGAGAGAUUUCCAAGCAUUUCCCCAUGAACAGAAGUGGUAAAUGCUGAUUUAUUGUGCCAUAUGUGUGUUUGGGAGGAGGGGAGAUAGCGUCUUGUUUUGAAAAAAGUUCUCACUUCAUAAAAUAAACUGCACACCACUCCAAAAAAAAAAAAAAAGAUGAAACCUCAAGCAGGAGGAACUUUUUUAUUUAACCCCUAGUGAAAGCAAUUAAACGUCUUGGUAGAUGCUAGGGAAGAAUUAGAAAAUCUUCUUUUCCUGAAAGCUUUAAACAUUGAAUAGACUCUGAUUUAUUCAGGAUCAUUUCGGUGUAGAUUGGCCACUCGACACAGACAUCACAGCAUGGUAGCCUCGAAACCAAGCCUUCAGCAUCUUCUCGGCGCCCGGUGUUGGAGUGUUACUUGGAGUGGAGGCAGUGCAUUUGCAUCUUCAUGUAGUCUCCAGAUCAGGUUACUCUGAUUUGUCUUGGAGUGGCUUUCUGUUUGAAAGUAGGGAAGAUUAAAAAUCAACUUGCCACGGGAUAUCUGAUCUCCAUGAGUAGUUGAAAGCCAGUCUAAAAGGUUAACUCUACAGGGCCGGCGCCGCCAGUGCGGUCAUGGAAAAUCGUGCUGUGAGAUACUGGAGUGUGCUGCUGGGGCCAGGUGCAGCAAUUGCAGAAUGUUGAGGAGUGAGGAGUAGUUAGAAAUCACUGCAACAUGGAAAAGCACACAGACCAAGGACGCUAAGGAGGGAGCGAGGACUACCGGGCAGGUGUGCGUGUGUGGAGUAAAAUGCAUCGGACAGUGAUUGACUCCACUUUUGAGUGAGAUGUGGAGGCGGUAGUGGUGUGGGGGUUGUGAGGGAGUGAGUCUGCUUUAUUAUGAAUCAGGAUUGAUAGCUGGCCUUAAAGUGGGAAAUGAUAGAAGGGUCACUUAGGAGCCUGCAGUGGCAUGGUGACCAGUCUGUUAUUACUCAUAGAUGACCUUUUCUGGCUCUUGAAACCAAGCUAACGACUCCUUUUUCUUCUGGGCCUCAAAGUUUCUUUGUAGGAAGUAAAGCAUUUGUCACUUUCCCUGCAGUGAUUUAUUGAAAGACUGAAGAUAGGUCUUCCUUAGUUAAGGACGCACACUGGCUGCUCGCUCCAGAAGCACCAAGAAUGGCUGAUGGAUAAAUCCCUUACCCAUACUCCUGUUUCUGCCUCCUAAGGUUGCUGUGAAAACCUAACUAACCAAACCUCACCAGCUUGGCCUAUAUUAUUAAUCAAAUUCCCUUCUGUUCUCUCUGUGUGUAUAUUUAAUACUGUAGAUAAUAUGUUUUAUUUAAAAUUUCUAAUACACCAAAUUAAUUUGAAAUAGAAAAGGCUGGGGACUUCAUUCUCAUUUUUGUCAUUUGUUUAAUCAGUUUGGGAAAACAUUUUCCGUUGUUCCAUUGUAUGCAGUGUCUUGUCAGCAUGUACCUAUCUAGGAGAAAACGCUUUGUUUUCAGCGUUCUGUCUUUACCCUCAAAGCAUGGUGUAGCUUCUGUUCUUACACUGUUGGAGCACUGUCUGAUGUCUUUUUUUUUUUUUUUAACACUGCUGAAUACCAAUUUGUACUUGGAAUACCUCUUUCCUCUAGAAUACAGUGAUCCUAUUCCCCAAAGUGCAAGCUUUCAUGUGGAAGCAUCCUAAGUGAUCGUCCUGGGUGAUGCCAUAUUUCACUAAAGUGGGAAAAGAAGAGGUGAACUUUGCUCUUCCAACAAGGCUUGCACUUUAUACUUUGGGCAGUGCAUGGGAGAAGGGGGGCCCUUAGAGGUGAGCAGGAUCACUGUAGCUAGAGGAGAGGUCUCACUGAAACAGAACGCAUCUGUGACUGUAGCUUGCAUGGAGAGCCUAGACAGCCAACCAUGGAUUUGCCUUUAUGUUUUGAAUGGAAACAUCUAUUUCAAUUGGGAUAGAAACCUUUACCUAUGUCAUAUCUGUAAGAGAAUUUAGCUUAUAGAUAUGUAGAUACGUGUGUGUGUUGCUGGGUGGGGAAGUGGGUGGGAAUGUAGAAAAGGCCUCACCUGACUUGGUCCCAGUUGGCUUCUGAUGGCCAAGGAGCUGUUUUUCAUUUUGGUGGGCACCCAACAUGUAGGUUCUCACAGAUGCUGUCUGGUUUCUUCUUCUCUCCAUGGCGGAACAAUGAAGUACGUCAAUAAAGCAUGGACUCAUACCACUGGGAAGAAUGCUGGCUUCUCCAGUAACAAUGAGCUUGGUGGUUCUUUGAGCAUGGAAGGCCAAGCUCAUGUCACAGUGUAUGCACGGUAUUAAUAUAUCUCUUGUUGAUCUAAACUGAAGGGGCUUUUACUUGUCCUAACAGGUAUCAUGCUGUAAAAACUGUCCAUUGUAACUGUUCUUUCCCACUGAUGGCUGAAGCUUUGUCCUGAGUACAAGAUGGUAUUUUUCAUUGGUACGAAGCACCAUGUUCCCAACCCAAACACUGCCUCCACCACCACCACCACCACCAUCACCACCACCACUGCUACUACCAACAUCACCACCACCAUCACCACCACCGUGUUCAAACAAAGCAGCAUUCUCCUGUGUCUUUUCCUCAUAAGUAAGAACAAGGUAGCACAUUCAUUUUUCCAUUAGUGCAUUUCAAUUCUUUUCCUGCAAGUUGCAUUGCUAUUGCUUUUCUGAAUUGCUUGAUGAUGAACUGUGAAGCUGAUGCUUAGCUGCUUGUGAAACUUUUCUUAAAGGAACUGGGUCUAAGAAGCACACAUACAUUACCCUCAACAACCUCAGGUAUCAAGAAGAGGACCACACUGCUAACAUGGGUAAUCCUAUAACCUGGCUUUUCUUGUGGAACUUUGUAAUUUCUAUAAAAUACCGCCAGCUUUGCGUAUUCCACUGAGCCCCAACUUAGAUAUCAGACGCUAGUGAGUCCUGCCUAUUCAGGAAGCUACGUAUUAUUCAGCAUAAUACUGCCCUUUUUUUUGAUAACUGGCUUUCAAAUGGGAUAAUCUCAAGAGAGGUUUCAUUGUAUCCUCUUAGAGCGUAUGGAUUUAAAUAGAGCCUUUCAAAAAAAUAGAUGAAAACCUACAUCUCUAAUAUAUUUCCUACUUGGGCCUUUUGAGCAUAUUCUGGGCACAUAGAGAGAAAAUCUCCUAUGUUUUAGAACAGAAUAAAAGAAGACAAAUUAUGGUAGAUAAGUGGCACCCAGAAGAUUGCAAAAUAAAUAAUUUUAUGUGGGGGAAUAUUGAAGAAAAAGCAUAGAAACUUUUUUAUAAUUGCACUUUAAAAUUUUGGAAAAGAAAAAUUGAGAAUGCAAUCAGUAGUCUCAUUUUUGUCAGUAUUCUGUCAGAUAUUAGCUAUUCAAUAAGCAUAUCUUGGAUUACUAUUUUUUUAGUUGUCAGUUUUUCUAGUUUCCCCCUUUAUAGGAAAAAAUAAUACCUAUGUGGUUAAAAACUGAGACCCAUUUAAAAAACAGGACAGGUACAGUUAAGUACUAGAAAUGCCGUUUUUAUCACUUGAAAAAUAGAUUAGAAAUGUUUUUCUUUUCCCAGAAUUGUGUGAGUUUGUUUUGAAGCCUUGAAUACCGGUACAUGGUUAACAGGCAGCUUGUGCCCAAUCCCAAAGCGGGAAGAAAGGCCUGGCUUUGGCUCACUGAUGAUAAAGUCUCCUCCCACUGCCUUUCAGCAGCUCUGCCGAAGAGCUGAUCAAGAUGCUGCAAACCCAGCUUCCCCAGACCGGCCAAGAGGGAAGAAUGAUGAGCGUGUUUUAAAUUACAAAGAGAGAGCAGCGCAGGCAGUUUCUGGUCUGGGUGAUAAAUUGAAAUCCAUAAAUAUAGCAGUGCUAAUUUGAAGUUCCGUAAUUGUUUGUGCCAUGAGAAUGUGUACAUUUGAAAGGAUUUUAUAAAGCAAUUACUAGAAAUGCCUCCCUUGAGAGCUGUAUGACUGGAGGUGUUUUCAGUCUGAGGGGGGCAGCAUAAACCCAAACCUCUUCUAGAUGAAUGGCAGGGUGGCGGGAGGGGUCAUGAAAUCAUGGGGAAGAGGUGAAGGAUUUGAGAGCUACUAACCUGACAUCUAACUGAAUGCCUAAGAAAUUGCAGGGCAAUUUCAGGAAAUAGGAAAAAUAAUUUUGAAAACAUUCAAAGCCUCCAGACUUUCGGUGUGUGACUGAUCUUUUUUCUAAUCUCUUUAAACUUCUUUCCACCUAUUGCCUUAAUAGCAGGUGCUUCCUCUUAGGGUCCCCCCAAAUUAUUUACCUCGAGUUCCCUAAUGAAAUUACUUUGCAUUAAUUUGUCAUAAAGGGAGAAGUGCUAGAAAUACCGAGGCAUUGAUAAUUUCAUGGAGUAGCAAUGAAUGUCAGUCACAGUUUCCUCUCCCCGUUGCCCGGGGCUGUGCCUUCAAAGCAGGUGACAGACUGCAAGGUGUAAACAAGCUUUAUAAUGCCAUAUAAAUCAAACCGGGCUCAUUUUACCUAACAACAGAACCAUGUUUGUUUGCUUUUUUGUAAAAUGGACUACUUCAGUGAAAAAUUGAUUCCACGUAGUUCUAAUAACUCUGUGACCUUGGACAUUGGCUUUUUAUAGACACAGCUCUUCCCACCUGCUGGUAUGGACACCAGUUUGUACAGACUGUUGUCACACACCCUGGCUCAAAGUCAAAAGAGAAUUUUAAUUACUCAUCAAGCUGCCAAAUUCUACUAAUUGCCCCCUUGUCAGCAUAUUUCAUUAAUUGCUGAAAGGUAAAUGAGUUACAUAUUUUGUUUGGACCACGUCACCUGUACAUUUUCAAAGCCUCGGAUUGUUUAUCUUGCAAAGAGAGAAGGGGCCUCUUCUCCACAGAUGCAGCUCAAAUUAGCAAAACUGAACUGUAGAGUUUCAGGCCUUUCCCUUCCUUAAAAUGCUGAUAGAUUUCUAGACCAGACUUUGAUAUUUAUUGGCUUCUUGGUCUUGCUGUUUAAACACACCCAUUGCCCUUUCUUUCUUAGGCCCUAUAAGCAAAGCUGGAGUAGCGUCUUGGGAAAAGGCCAACUGACCACCCUAAUUUUGUCGUUCCAAGUCUGCAGAGCGCACAUAUUAAGUAGUUGUUACUGACAUCUUUAGGCUCCGUGAGUGAAAUGCAGCAAGCCUGCCCCCAGCAGCCUGUGGGCUAAUCCUGAGCUGUUCCUUCGUUUAGGUACACAGGUGACCCUGAAGUUCCCACUCGGCCCUCUGUUUUCUGAGUCCUGUCUCCUCUGUAGCACAGUGGGGAUUGUUCUGAACCGUGGCACGCCUUCUUGGCGAGGCAGGCUCUCUUAUGGAACCAUAGUCUGUUACCUCAUUUCUUCCAACUGCUCUGUCCCCUAAAUGUGUGUUCCCAGGUGCAGUGCAGCAAGGGUGCUCGCUGUUGGCCUUUGAGAGUGGAGGUGGCUGUAUCGGAGUGUGCUCCCCCUACUUUUUCCCUUGCCCCGAGUGGCAGUUCUUUUCCUCUCUGUUGCCGGAUGCUGUCUAGGGCCUGUUAGUUGCUAUUUCCUUGCCUCCGCUCCCCUUCCCACUAGCCUUCUAACUACCUUUUAUUCUCGGCUCCAACUCUUUCAAUGAUGAGGUGAAUGCUUUUUCUGUUCCACGUCACUGCAAAGUCAAGGUGUCCAGCAUGCUCUCACUUAUAACUGCCUCACCCGAUCUCACGCACAGUGCGAGAGCUGAAGGUAAGCCCCGGAUGUUGCCAGAUUACGGUGGACAAAUAAAAAACAACUCUCCAACAGCAACUCACAAAUGCAUGAAAUGUUUUAACCUCUAGACAGACUGCCAGAAUUUCUCUCUUCUAAUUCCUACUUGUAGUGAUAACAUUUUUCUUUUUGUGAUUUUUUUUUUUUUAAAUAAUAGUGUAGUACCUUGAAACAACUGCAGUUCUAACUCAUUGUCACCAUUUCUGUUUGACACGUUCCACUUCCUUUGCAAUUAUUGUAUUUAGUUGUGCACUAGUGUCAAUAAAAUUGACAUUUGUGAAGCAA